CGGUUUCAAUCUGUUGCGGACAAAUAAAGUGAAUGUGCGCGUCAAUUCCCCCAGCGGUGAGGAUCAUUCCUUCUGAGGCGAUCGCUUCUGUACCAGGACCAAUAAUGAUAUCUACGUUGUCUUGAAUGUAAGGAUUUCCCGCUUUGCCAAUUUUGAAAAUCUUGCCGUCUUUAAUGCCAAUAUCUGCUUUAACGAUUCCCCACCAAUCGAGAAUUAACGCAUUUGUAAUCACAACAUCGACCGCACCAUCCGCAUUCGCUAUUGGCGAUUGUCCCAUACCAUCG
RNAcentral lists this small RNA (284 nucleotides) under Gloeocapsa sp. PCC 7428. Its description in RNAcentral is "5' ureB small RNA". It matches the Rfam family "5' ureB small RNA". The record is from Rfam by way of RNAcentral. Lineage: Bacteria; Bacillati; Cyanobacteriota; Cyanophyceae; Chroococcidiopsidales; Chroococcidiopsidaceae.